UCGUCGGUGCUCCAGAAGCUCAGUCAAGUUAUCAAGGUAUCGGCAGGGGAGGUGUAUAUCGAGGAGGAGCAGUUUACAAAUGUCGAAUAGAUGUGGACAACAGGUGCCAAGAAGUGCCGUUUGAUAGAACAGGAAACGUUUUGAUGGGAACAAACUACAUAGAUGAAAAGAGUGGUCAGUGGUUCGGAGCAACUUUGAGUUCAUCUGGACAAACAGACGGACCGGUUGUCGCUUGUGCACCAAGAUACGUCUGGUUCACCCGAUAUCUCAACAGAGUAGAUCCAGUUGGAACAUGCUUUGUUGCUAAUGGAGCAUUAGAUACUUUUGAAGAAUAUUCGCCGUGUAGAACAAG
Long non-coding RNA from Leptinotarsa decemlineata (Colorado potato beetle), 352 nucleotides. NCBI's taxonomy places the organism in Eukaryota, Metazoa, Arthropoda, Insecta, Coleoptera, Chrysomelidae. The record is from RefSeq and is a predicted model, not a curated record.